This 449-nucleotide ribosomal RNA is filed under the name uncultured bacterium. RNAcentral's name for it is "partial 16S ribosomal RNA". It matches the Rfam family "Bacterial small subunit ribosomal RNA", at positions 29 to 523 of the family's 1533-position model. The record is from RNAcentral.
CACGAACGCUGGCGGCAUGCCUAACACAUGCCAGUCGAACGAGACCUUCGAGUCUAGUGGCGCACGGGUGCGUAACGCGUGGGAAUCUGCCCUUGGGUUCGGGAUACCCGUUGGAAACGACUGCUAAUACCGGAUGAUGUCUUCGGACCAAAGAUUUAUCGCCCAAGGAUGAGCCCGCGUAGGAUUAGCUUGUUGGUGAGGUAAGAGCUCACCAAGGCGACGAUCCUUAGCUGGUCUGAGAGGAUGAUCAGCCACACUGGGACUGAGACACGGCCCAGACUGCUACGGGAGGCAGCAGUGGAGAAUAUUGGACAAUGUGCGAAAGCCUGAGCCAGCAAUGCCGCGUGAGUGAUGAAGGCCUUAGGGUUGUAAAGCUCUUUUACCCGGGAUGAUAAUGACAGUACCGGGAGAAUAAGCACCGGCUAACUACGUGCCAGCCGCCGCCGUAA